Molecule: ribosomal RNA, 497 nt
Filed under: uncultured bacterium
Lineage: Bacteria
Description: partial 16S ribosomal RNA
Rfam family: Bacterial small subunit ribosomal RNA
Source: RNAcentral
AGUGAACGCUGGCGGUAUGCCUAACACAUGCAAGUCGAACGGCAGGACAGUAAGAGCUUGCUCUUACGGUUAGCGAGUGGCGGGCGGGUGAGGAAUACAUCAGCAUCUUCUUUUUCGGGGGGGAUAACGGGGGAACGGAUACGAUAACACCUCAUACUUUCUACGGGAUAGAGCAAAAGAUCUUGGGAGCUUGCGCGAUUGUAUUAGCCGGUUUCGGGCUGGAUUAGCGAGUUGGUAAGGUAACGGCUCACCAAGGCAACGAUGCUUAGCUGACCUGAGAGGAUGAUCGGCCACACUGGAACUGAGACACGGUCCAGACUCCUACGGGAGGCAGCAGUGGGGAAUCUUCGGCAAUGGGCGCAAGCCUGACGCAGCAAUGCCGCGUGAGUGAUGAAGGUCUUCGGAUCGUAAAACCCUUUUAUUAGGGAAGAACAGAAGUGUAAGUAACUGUCCACAUCUUGACGGUACCUAAUCAGAAAGCCACGGCUAACUACGUG